Molecule: ribosomal RNA, 253 nt
Filed under: uncultured bacterium
Lineage: Bacteria
Description: partial 16S ribosomal RNA
Rfam family: Bacterial small subunit ribosomal RNA
Source: RNAcentral
UACGAAGGGGGCUAGCGUUGUUCGGAAUCACUGGGCGUAAAGGGCGCGUAGGCGGCUUUAUAAGUCGGGGGUGAAAGCCUGUGGCUCAACCACAGAAUUGCCUUCGAUACUGUAGAGCUUGAGACCGGAAGAGGUAAGUGGAACUGCGAGUGUAGAGGUGAAAUUCAUAGAUAUUCGCAAGAACACCAGUGGCGAAGGCGGCUUACUGGUCCGGUUCUGACGCUGAGGCGCGAAAGCGUGGGGAGCAAACAGG